Long non-coding RNA from Thalassophryne amazonica, 593 nucleotides. RefSeq lists it as uncharacterized. NCBI's taxonomy places the organism in Eukaryota, Metazoa, Chordata, Actinopteri, Batrachoidiformes, Batrachoididae. The transcript has 2 exons. The record is from RefSeq and is a predicted model, not a curated record.
UUACCUUGUGAGUGAUGGGGAAAAUUACACAUAGAGGUCAUAUAUCAAAUGUUCAUGAAUGCUUGAUAUUUGGCCUUUUUCCAUGGGAAAAAAAAUUGUCAAACUUGUGCGACCCCUAGUGUUCAGUUUAGUAGACAUUUUAGUCAGAUUUGGCUAAUGGCAUCCAAACCUUCCAACAAUUUUAAUGAAAAUCUGUUUAUACCUUGUCAAAAUAACAUGCAGAAAUUUAACCUGCUACUUUGGCUGAAGUAAUGAGAGAUGUGAUGCCUGCAGCUAUAAAGUCCAUGCAGGAAGACCUCGUUCACCUUCUCUUUGAAGUGCGUGUUGAUUGUUAAGUGUGUGCGUGUGCAUGUUGGUGUGUUUGUGUGUCCCUGAGGUUUUCUGUAUGUUUCUGCCUCUUCAUUUUAACAUGAAUACAUUGUCCUCUAUAGACCUCUGUGCACAUCAAAGCCAUGACUGAGCCUUCAAAGGCUCAUCUCUCUACUGUGCCUAGUCAGAACUUUUAACAUCAUCUCUGCAGGCAAGAGAGAUCUCAAACACACACACACACACACACACACACUUCCCCACUUGACUUUACUGACAUAUAUGAA